GGAGGCGGCACGGCCUCCUCGUGCUAAAAUUCUCUUCCUCCCUACCAGGAGUCGGGCGCCGUGCGGGUGUCCUCUGUCCGUCUCUACGGAGACAUGGUGCAGGCCGUGGUCUGGUGCCACCAGAGGAAAAUGAAGGGGACGGCGCGCAGGGGUCUGGUCCCGCUGCUCUUUCGGAUGAGAGAUGAGAACCAGGACGUGGCCCAGGUACAGUUUCCGUCCCACCAAGGGCAUGGUGACACUGUUUGGGUGCUCUGGGUGCCAGGGCCCAUGGCUGCUGCUCCUACAGCCUGGGCUCAGAGUUCUGCCACCGGCCGCCUGGGCGUCGAGGGCCCGGGACAGAGCCAGCUGGGAGCCCAGCGUCAUGCUGGGGAUGGCCGUGGAGGGGCUGCUGGCUCCGUGUCUCUGUGUGGCCAUCUUGCACAGCCCGUUUUCUGUCCCCCUUCCCACAGCGCGCUGGGAAAGGCUCCCGGCCCUGCCAAGAGGAGGGCAGUGCCGGGUCUCCUUCCUGGGGCCAUGGUGCCAUCUGCCAGCUUCUGCUUCCCUGCAGGCCGCCGGGAGAGCCAUUGUACAAACGGCAAAUCUCCUGCGCUGGAACGACCUCCGGCAGCUGGCUGAGAAAGGGGAGACAUGGAGGAUCGCGGAGUGCUUGGUAGGGAGAACCCUGCAGCCCCAGGCCAACGGGGACAGCUCUGCUAGCUGGAGAGAGUCUGCAAUCCCCGUGCUGUUGUGCUUUCUGCAGCUGCGGCGGGACCAGAGCAGGGCAGAGGAAUACCUGCAGGAGAGCCAGCCUUACCUGCAGGACCCUCAGGCGGCCUUGCGAGAGGAGGCCGUGAGGUUCAUUGGGCUUGCUGCGCGCUAUUCAAGGGACCAGAGGGAGGAGAAGCUAUAGGACAUCAUCAGGGGUAAGCGAGGGCUGUGGUGUGUGUACUGAAGCUGGGGGUAGAGACCCCCGUGCCUUGCUCUGCUCCAAGGAAAUUCUUGGGGCUGAGGGACAAUACCGAACCAUGGAAUCCUAGAGUGACUGGGUUGGAAGGGAGCUCAAAGAUGAUGCAGCCAUGAGAUCCCAGAGUGGUAGAAUGGUUAGCUUGGAAGGGAUCUUAAAGGCCAUCCAGUUCCAACCCCCUGCUGUGUCCUGGAUGCCCCCCACUGGAGCAGGCUGCCCAGGGCCCCAUCCAACCUGGCCGUGAGCACCUCCAGGGACGGGGAGCCCACGUGUUUUCUGGGCUGCCUGUUCCACGGCUUCCCUGCCCUCUGAGGAAAGAACUUCCUCCUAAGUCAGAGUCAGAGGAAAGGGCAGCAAGGUGGGAACCCAAGCGCGAUGAAGAGGGAGAUGGUAUCUCCCACAAGCAGCUAAGGAGGAGUUUCACUGGGGGAUGCCAAUGUCACCGAUGUCUGCUGGGAGUAGAAUACCUGGAGAGGAAACAGCUGGGGAGAUUCUUGGAGUGUGUGAAGGAGACCCUCCUUUACAGGACGUGAGGGAAUCUCGGAGGGC
RNAcentral lists this long non-coding RNA (1492 nucleotides) under Numida meleagris (helmeted guineafowl). Its description in RNAcentral is "lncRNA (ENSNMEG00000002839.1)". The record is from RNAcentral. Lineage: Eukaryota; Metazoa; Chordata; Aves; Galliformes; Numididae.